CUACCUCCCAGAGACCAGAGAAUGUACCGUCAGAUGCUACGCCUAGGCUGCUUGGCUCUCCGGCGUGGGUGACAGGAGUGGGCCCAGUGUGCUUGACGUGGUGGAGUCACCCAAGAUCCGGCAGGGUGGAGGUCAGGGAAUGAAAAUGAGGCCUUCGGGGCAGGUUCUCUCACUCUCCUGCCUCUCCCCCUGCCCUCUAGCCCCUGGGAGGCCUCAGCCACUUCACUCCACCAACGCCCCCUUCGUAAGAACCUUCCACCCAGUCCAACUCUGUUAUCUGUAACAGACUCCUAAAUAUGCCGCGUGCAUUCCACAUUUGGCUAAUGCCAUUCCCUUCAAUUUACCUUUACUUUCUCUACAAAUGUCUCAGACCCUGGCUGCUCUCCCAGGCUCAGAUCAAAUCCAUUCCACUUCCACAAAACUGUCUUGGUCUCCAGCCCCAUAAGCCCCUGAAAUCCCAAACAUUUACUAACCUGUUACAUUCCCCAGUUGGCCUUUAGGUAUUCUGCACUCCACAGCAGUCCUACAACAAUGCAGGUAUGCAUGCAUUCGCCCAUCCAUCCAUGCAUCCACCCAUCCAUGCAACUACUCACCCAUCCAUGCAUCCACUCAAUAAAUAUUAUCGAUCACCUGCCAUAUGCCGGGUACUGUCCCACCACUUCCCUUGUCCAUUCUCUUCCCAUCUCCAAGAUGACUAUUUCCCACCUCCUACUCUCCCUCAAACCUCUACCACUCACUCCCUCAGCAAUCUCACCCAGUCUCAUAGCAUUAGGUACCACCUUAGUCACUGAGACCCGCCCUGACCUCUCUCCUACACUCCAGGUUCCAACACCCAAUACCAUCUCCACUUGGGUGUCUAACGGGCAACUUAGUGUAGCCAAAUCAGAACUCCAGAUCCCACAAAAAACCCUAUGGCCCGCUUCUCCCAGUUUUUCCCAUCUCAGUAAAUGAUUCACCCAUCUGUGCAAGCCACAAACUUCGGAGUCAUCUUUGUCUCCUCUUCGUUUUGCUCCAUCCCGCCAUGUCCAUCCAGCAGCAGACUAUUGGCUCUACCUUCAAAACCUGCUGCCUCUCUGCCCUCCACACUACAGCGCUAGUCCAAGCCCCUGUGGUUCCAGUGGGACAAGACAGCCUCCAGUAGGUCGACCUGCUGCCACUCUUGGCUCUGUAUAUUCUUUGCACAACAGCCAGAGUGAUAGUUUUAAAACACAAGACCACGAGAGAACCCUCCAAAGGCCGCUGAACAUCCCCUAUUGGAUUUCCUGCUACGUCCUCAGGGCAUACAAGCCCUCCAUGAUCCGGCCUCUGCCCGACUUCACCUGUUGCCACUCGCCUCCACCCUCACUGGCUUGCUUGAAAAUUUGUCAAAUGCACCAACACAGGACCUCUGCCCUGGUGGCCCUUCUGCCUGAAAAGCCGCCGCUCCCCUCAAUGACUUACCCGCCUGCCUGGCACUCCUCUCCCUCCUACCCCUUCAGAGCACUUAUCACAACCUAACAUUGCUUUAAAUAUUUAUUUUGUUCAUUUUUCACCUGUUUCCUCCAUCAGAAGAUCAACUCCACAAAAGCAAGGAUUUGGCUAUUUGGUUUGAUGCUGUAUUCCCAAUGCUAAAAUAAUGCAGAGACAGGGUCGGGCCCAGUGGCUGAGUGGUUAAGUUCACGCACUCCACUUCGGCGGCUUAGGGUUUGCCAGUUCAGAUCCCGGGUGUGGAGCUAUACGCCACUCAUCAAGUCAUGCUAUGGCAGCAUCCCACAUACGAAGCGGAGGAGGAUUGGCACAGAUGUUAGCUCAGGGCCAAUCUUCCUCUCCAAAAUAAUAAUAACAAUAAUGCUGGUACAUAGCAAGGACUUGAUAAAUAUCUACUGAAUGAAUGAAUGAGUCCUGCCUAGUUGUUUCCUUACUAGAUAUGUCUGAUCUCCCCUCACCUGAGGUUGAGCAGCCUAUGACCAGGGGCAGCAUCGUGUUCAUCCUUUCACCUUCCUACGCCUCCUGGCCCGGGAGCCAGUUACAAGAGCAGGUACAGGCCUGGGAAUGACAAUCAGGCUGCACGAUCAAUGGGAAGUGCUGCCUGGCAUGAUGUGACGAGAAGGACCCGGAGGCCAGUCUAGGUAUAGCAUUAUCGAUUUCUGAUGUGGGCCAAGGGCCGGAGGUGGGAAAUAAAAGUGCAGUCUUUGGGGCUGCCAAGCCUGUUAACCCGGGGAUCCUUGAGGCUGGAGAGAAAGCUGAAUUGGCAGGGAAGGGCAGGCCAGUCCUGGCCAGUCCUCAGGUUUGGGAAGCUAAGGAGAUAGGCCACUAACCCACAGGGCAGCAGAUGCCAGUGGGCCCCAGGAUACCAGGUGAUGCUGCCCCAUCAGCCCUCCGCCCCUGGAGAGACCCUCAAGCCCACCAUCUCGGCCAUUACUCCACAGCACUUGUGGCUCAUGCAAGACACAGAAGCUGAGGGGAGCAGCCACUGAGCUAAAUGUCUCUCAGACCUGGGGACAGAGGCAGAAAUGGCCCCACAUAACUUAGAGUGGGCCACUUUGGCCUUUUGAUGUGACUCUUGGCAUCUGAUAAGAGUUCCACAGACACUUAUCCAGGAGGUCUAGCCACUCCUUCCUGCAGGAGACCAGCCUGGAUGUAACAGGAGGGGCAGGCCCUGGGGUGUUCUGCACAGCCAUGCUAUCCCCUUGCUCCCAGCCCCCCACCAGGCACAGAAACAGUCAAGCUGCUGGGGCACAUGCCCUACAUCCCCCUAACCUGGGGCCACCACACUGCCACCUGCUCCUCCCUGCCAGCAGGGUGAACUCCCAGAAGGCCCUCCCUUGCAGUCUCCAUCCUGGCCUGCAGCUCCCUGGCUGGACAGUGCUCCGGCCAGCAGGGGGGCUCGUGGUCACUUGGGGACAGGAAGGCUGAAACCCCUUUUCCUGUUCUUCUCUUUCAAAGUUGGCAGACCUGACCUCUUUCAUAACAUUAUUUUAGUGACCGAAGCACUUUUGCAUCUGAGAUUUUCCGCAACCACUUUGUGGAGCUGGUCUCAAUGGCCCCACUUUCAGGAAAUGGAGGUAUUUGCUCCCUUCUCGCAGUGUAAGCAGCGGCAGGAAAGCCAAAGGCCCCGUUUCCACGCCCAGAGGAGCGAGCCCUCCCGCACCCACGACAGAGCUAGGAAGAAAGAACCAGCCAUGCAAAAGCCAAAAAAGGAACCCUUUCUCUCUCCAGAGAUUAUGAAAUCAAAGAGCAUUUUGUUGCUUCUUGGAAAUUACUCUCCUUAUGACUUGGAGGCCACACAAUUCAACAGGGCUUCCAUCAUCAUCAUCAUCAUCAUUAUUAAAACAUUUGGUUUAGUUCUCGCCUCCUUUUCGAACUUUCACACAGAGAACACAAGCGUUUACCUGCGCUCACCCAGGACCGGACGAGCAGGUCGCGCGGGCUUCCAGCCCCCUCCUUCCCGGGGCUUGGCUGCAAGACUCCCGCAACAUCUCGAAAUCCCCCCAGAUCUGCGCGGUCACUGUGGGAAGGAGGCCGGCUCUGACAAGCCCAGGCAAGCCCAGGCAGAGCCCGCUUCUGGUCCUCCCUCCUGCGCUCACCACCCGGGCCCGGGGAGGGAGAAGCCUCUCGCCCGCCCAGAUCCGGGGAGUCAGCUCGCACCCGGGACGGGGCGCCGGCAUCUCCUCCACCAGAAAAGAAAAAGGGCCAGGUGGGGAAAAGAGGAGCGGGUGGGGGCGGCGCCAGCUCGCGCGGGAUUGGGGUGGCGGCGCAGCGGGCGCCGGGCUCACGUCGGGGGAUGGGGUGUGCUCACUGCCGGAGGCCAGGGCCGCCGCGUCGGGGCGCGCUGCAGGGCAAUGGCGCGCGCCUGGCCGUGGAGCAGGUUUCCCGGGCACAGGGUCCGGGCCCCGUGCCCCUCCACCGCCGCCGCCUGCCCGGGCUGGCGCUUCCCUGGCCAGAGCGCCGACUUUGCGCAGCGCCCCUCGCCUCCGCCCCCCGCCGAGUCCCGGGGCGCGCCUCCCAGAGCCGAUGUCCGGGGCUCCACGGCCAUCGCGACUCUUGCGCAGGCUCCUCGCCUGUCCGCGGCGGGACCGAAGCCCAGGCGGGCCGAGGGGGUCCUGUAAGAAAACAAACGGAAUCCACGGGGACGCUCGCCGCGACGCCCAGCCCCCGGGCCUCUCCCCGGGAACAGGGAAGAAGAAACCUGCGUCCCGGGCGCGGGUGACGGACGUGUCCCGGGUCUGGACCUGUCGUCUCCACGACAUUGUCAGCCUGGAGAGCUCAAAGGUCCCACGCAGCCCCAGAUUCAAGGAGAUGAGAAAGGACUUCUAGUGCCAGAAACGGGCACCCCACGCGGCCACCGCCUGCCGGCCCGGCGCCCCGCCCCCACUCACCGCGCCCCCAAGUUCCGGCGCUGCGGGCCGCUGGGGUGACACCGUUCCGUGCGGCCCGGGGCGCAGGAGCAGGCGUGGGGCACGGCCGAGGCGCGGCGCUGGGGAGCCGGGUGCUCCAGGCGGGGUCCGUGAGCUGGGCAGGGCCCUGGCGAAGCGCCCCGCACCCGCCUAAAGGUUCCCGGAAACAAAAACGCGGACGCGGGUCCCAAACUUGAAGUCGCAGGAAGGCACCCGGCAGCGCGGGAGAUGCGCACCUCCCAUUUCUCGCCGUUUCCGCGCUACCGUGCGCGUGGAGCCGGGCGCCCUCGGGUUUGGUGGGGACGCACGUGCAGGGGCGGCCCUGCAGACCCCGCCCCCCGCCCCGCUGUGCGGAGAGGGGUCUCCAGCCGUCAUCCCGCCCCCAAGCAUCACAGAUCCCACCCAGUCCGACCUGGUCGGGACUUCGGGACCUUUGGGAGACAAACCACCACGCAGCCCGCAGCGCCCAGCCACACCGGCCUCUUGCUGAUGUUGGAACAUACCAAGGAGUCCUCUCCUCCUCCCUGAAGCCAAAGAGACAGCACUAGGCCCCUGGGGGCUGACAUGCACCAUCAUUAGUCACCACCUCCUCAUCACCACGCGCAGUGAGAACCAGAGGCUGUAACCAUCAAGCCAGUUUCCAUCCCGGGCCCCCAGAUAACCACAUUAUUCUAUUGAUUAAUCAGAAAGAAGAAAAAAAAGGAAAAGUAACCCAUGCCAGUAGGAAAUGUGGAUUGUUCUAUGGAAGAGAGGGUCAUCCAUUGGAGUGUGGGUUGAAGAGAAUUCCAAACCUGGGCUUUGCGAUCGUGGAGCAGGGAAUGCUGUAGAAACGCCAAGGACGGCUGGGGCCCUUGCAAAACAGGGCAGAUGUUAAAGAGACACAGUAAUUGGUGGACUGGGCUGUCCAUCUAAGGUAAGUCUACUCUAAAAGAUAGCCGAGGCCAACAGAAAAAGAGCUAGAAAGAAAGGCACCCUGAUCCUAGAGUAUAUAAAUAUUUCCACCAUGAGGACCAUGGGGAUGAUUCUCAUGAAUGAUGCAGGUCAGUGUUCUUGGUGGAACCCCUUUUUCUCUACCCAGCCACAUCAACACUCCUCCUCAAUCCUUUUGGCAGACGCUACCAAGUGAUGUACUUGUAGUCAUUGCCCCUUCCAUUGAAGUUAGCUGCGGAUUAGCACCACCCAGGUCUUUCUAGAAAUAGGAAGAAUGCUUAGCACAGCCCUCAGAAAACUGUGUGUUGCAGGCAUCCAGAUUCCUGGCUGAAAGAUAUAAGGCACUCACAGGACUUCUUUGCUGGAGCCGUGUCUCUUCCACUUGCCUAGAGGGAACACCUUGGGAGAGCAGCCACUUUCGGCCUCCAGGGACCUGAAGAAGCCAAGAAAAAAAGCAGUUAUGAAAAGCAAACCAAUUCCAGGGCCAGUUGCACAGGAGGUGGCUUGGAGACCUGGCAGGUCUGCUCAAGUAUCCCUCAGCAGCCUUCACUCCAAAGCGGGAUUUUGCUAGUAGGAACCUCUCCUUCGAGUCAAGGCACUACAGUCUUCAGGAAAUGGCUGAGAGGAGCCUGUGCCUUCCAGGAGCUUAUGUGCACUUGGAUCCCCAAUAGAAUUUGCAAACUUCUAAGGCAGAAGAGAGGGACGAGAUGGCUCAGACACGACACAAUGUGGCGCUCAGGCUGAGCAGAGGUGCUCAGAAGAGGUUCAUUGGUGACCUGAGGUGCCUCUGAACCUACGGGGUGGCCUGGGAGGCCAUCAGGGUGAAGACGAGCAUCAGAGACAAGCUUGGCCCAUUUCACAAUGCUAUCACGAACCAGUCUUAUCUUACUCCUCCCGUUUUGAAGGAAAAAGAAAUUUGUACUUUAAAAAAAAAACAACACUUAUGCUUGGUUCACUCCCUGUUGUGAAAUAAGCACUUAUUUAUUACACUGUUGUGAAAUAAGCGCUUAUUUAUUACACAGAAGGAAGCCUGAUAUCCCUGAGACCUUGAAUGGACCAUUUACAACCUUUGGGCCGCAGGGCAAGGGGACCUUCAGACCACAAAGGGGCGAUGCCUUGCGGUGGCAGGGCCCUUCAGGAGGCAUGAGAAACCCAGGCUACGGCCAUGUCUUAGCGGACCUGGGAGUUUACAAAGUGAAGAAAUAUCAAAACAGGGUUAGAAAAAUGCACAUUUUAAACAUUUAAAAUUUAAAAACAGAACGCUUUUAGCGCACACACACAAUCCAAAUACAAUAGAAUCGUGCUGUUUACUAGAAAUGGUGUAAAAAAUCUGAAGGCCCUUUUUGGACAAGAAGUUCAGGCCAAACACCCCACCCCCCAGCAGAGAGACCCUGAAGCAAGAUGCCCCAAGAAAGCGAGCACCAGGCCUUCAGCGGGCCCUGCAACAGGACCCUGAGCCCCAGGACUGGAUGGGGCAACUAGCGAUGCUUCUAAACUCAAGUGAGCCAGCACCCUGGCCCAAUCUCCAAGUGUCCACUCUUGACCAGGACUUGGCUCAAAGAGGAAGGAGGAAAAGGCAGAACUGGGACCGUCAGCUCUAUCAUUGAGAAGUGUCCCCACGCCUUGUUGCUUUGCCACCCUUCUGUCACACAGUGAAAUGCUGUUGAUUUUUAAAGGCAGGGACCAUAUCCUGUACUGUUCGUACCUACUCGCAGCCCACAUUCUCACAUCAGUGGAUGCCCAAUAAAUGCUUGUUGGGUUGAACCGAAUUAUCAAGAAGGUACCAUCAAGAAUUCUUUGGGGGGCCAGCCCGGUGGCACAGCAGUUAAGUGUGCAUGUUCCGCUUCUCCGUGGCCUGGGGUUCGCCGGUUCGGAUCCCAGGUGCGGACAUGGCACUGCUUGGCACACCAUUCUGUGGUAGGCAUCCCACGUAUAAAGUAGAGGAAGAUGGGUACGAUGUUAGCUCAGGGCCAGGCUUCCUCAGCAAAAAAGAGGAGGACUGACAGUAGUUAGCUCAGGGCUAACCUUCCUCAAAAAAAAAAAAAAAAAAAAGAAUUCUUUGGCAAAUCUAAUGAUUUUACACUGCCAGAGAGUCAAAAAGCUAUAGGUUGCCUAUGGUCCCAUUUGAGACGACCCUUGUCAAAUUUCUUGGUUAACUUUCUCCACUCCUGUCGAGUCAACCUAAACACCACCUACAUCACCACAAGGGGUCUGGGAGCUCCCCUGCUCUGCAGCAAUGACCUCGACAAGCAUUUGCUGUGUACACACGAACAUGUACAACACAGCCUUGUACUGCCCUAAACUGGAAGACUAAGGAGUUAGCACCUGUAUGGUCUACAUAAUCUACGAAACAAGAGCAAUCGAUAAAACGUAUUCUACCAUGGAGAAGAGAGAUAAUCUCAUGAUACAGGAAAACAGGCUGUCUUCUGGAUAAUGGCAGAAAUUCCCCCCGAGUAGCUGAAGGGUCUGAGCACACAGCAUUUUAGCUUCAAGGGUCUUCAAAUCGGUUCUACUCACAACACCAAAUCAAUGUUAAACAAGAGGAACUGUUUGGGAGGAAAGAAGGAACUCACUGGGCACAAAAGUCAGCUGAGAUUCCGAAUAGAAACCCCCAAACAAGGACAGAAAGGCAGACCACCAAGGAGGAGGCUGGUAGGAAAGAAGGGGACCAAACCCAGUGGCUGAUCCAAAGGUCUGGGUUUGCGACCAUCCUUCUGUAACACUCCUCAAGCAAGAGGCAGGCACAAGGCCCAACCCGAAACCCAAAGGUGGCCUGAAGACCUUGCAAAUGGACCAGAAUGCUCAGGUCAGCAUUGCUGGUGGCCCAUCCCAAUUGUCCUUUGGUACCCUGUUCAAGGAUGGCCAGCCUUCCCUGGGAAUAUUGCUAAAUUUCCUCAGAUAACAGAUGUACAAACGACGCAUCAAGCCUACUCAAAGAAAGGAUGACAAUGAAAGCCACAGCGCACCCCUGUAGUGUGUUCAACAGAACUUUAUAAGAGGCCAAAAUGAAAUGUGGAGUGACCUAGGAGAUGACACACAUCCUGAAUGGCAAGGAAAUUUCUAAGUAAACUUUCUGUUUUUACCAGUUGAAAAUUCUUCUGCCUGAACGCAUGGAACUAAAUAAAGCUAAAACCCGGGCUCUGCAAACCACCCAGCUGGGCAGGGAUCACUGGGUCUCCUUCCUGCGUCCUCUGGAGCCCUCUGCUGGAGAAAUUCUGAAUUACAGCACUAAUAACCCACCCGGGAGCCCCCAGACUCAAGGGGCCCGGAUUUCUGAGAAUUGAAAAGAGGAACAACUAUAAGGAAGUCCCAUGUUUUCUCCUCUUGGGACUUUGUGCAGUGAGAGUUGUAAACCAGAGGUGCUGCAAACCUGCUCAAGGGCACUGUUCAGAUCUCAGAGCAGAACUACCUGACGUCCUGUAAAUUAUGCCUCUGGUUCUUAACACCCCAGGUCCGUGUCACCUCCCAGUGCCCAAUUUCCUUACCUUGUCCUACUUCACCUGAGUUGGGGCGCCUGAUGGGUCCAGGGCUGAUGAUUUCAUCCUUGUCCCACAUGCCAGGUCGGAACAUUUUCCAGGGACUCCCAGGUCUGCCCUGAGCGUCCCAUGUCCUUGGGCAAGUCAGUUAAUCUGUGAGCCUCACCAUCCUCAUCUCUGACUCUGGGCCUUGGACCAGAUGAUUUCUAAGUAUCUUGCAUUUGUGGGGUUAAAGUUCACAUGCACAAAAGGAAAGACAGGUUCUGAUCCUUAGUCAGAUCUGCAGAGAAUGAGAAUAGCUGAGAAACUGCUGACUCUGCAUUGGGCGAAAAGCAAAAACAGUCCAUGGGGAAGUGUCAUGGGUCAGGAUCUGGCCCUGGAGCCCUGGGAUCCCAGCAGCACCUGGAGCCUUUUCCUGCCCUCCCCCACCUGCCUCCCUGGUACUCCUUGUCUUCGGGAUUCAGGGUGCUGCCACCUUGCCAAGAGAGCAUCACCAGUGUCCCAUUUCCAGUCGAUGCCCAGGCCCAUCAUUUGUUCUCAAGGCUCUCACCUUUUCUUAUGUCUUAGUCCCCGGAGAAGCCACAGGGACUUGGCUGGCCAGUUGGCUCUGCCUGGAGGGUGCAGGCAGUCCCCUGGAGAGCGGCCUGUCCCCAUGUCCUUGGCAGGAAGACUGGCAGCCGCAGUGCUGUGCCUGUCCCAGGUUGAACAGGAGGGCUCCUGGUGUCAUUCUGGACAGGCCUAAAAAACUAAUGACAUCAGCACAGAGCAGGGUCUGCAGGCCCCACGACCCCUGCCAUCCCCUGCCCCUUCUCCGCUUCGACCUCCCUCCUCCUCCCAGCGCAAUGCAGGCUCCCAGGGCAGCCUCCAAGGUGAAGACACUAACGCGAGCGAUGGGAAGAAGCGGCCGCCAGUGCCAAGGCUGUUCCUGUGGAAGUCCAAGGUCCAGGUCAGUGAGAGGCAACAGUCUCUGAACUGUGUCACACCCGUGAACAUCCCCAGAAGAGCAGGCUCCUGUGCGCAGCGUGACAUCACUUCCCAUCUUGUCGGGAGACAGGGCUUCUGCCAAGGAACCAGCCCCUGGGGACAAGUCGGGCAGCAUUUUCAUGCUGCUGGCAUAAUUGAGACCUGCACCAGAGGCUGCUAUUCAGGGCACAAGGUGCAGUCUGGACCCCCUGGGGCUGCUCUCUCUGUCCCUAGGCCCCUGGCUCCUGCCACCUAAGCCCCUCACAUCACCCAGGAGGGUCAGCAGCUACUGCACCCCACCCACAUUUGCUGGCUCAGCUUCCCUCUGCAGGGGAAGCUGGACUUCCUCUGGAUCCAACCUUAACCUUCCACAACUAACUCCAUGACACUGGGGACAAAACCUUCUCCCACCGCCUUUGUACCCCAAACUGUCUCCAUAGGCUUUCCCAGGAAUCCUGAGUGGGAGCAUUCAAGGGUGUGGUCCCAGAGGGUCCCUUUGCCCUCACCCAAGAGGAUGCCUGAGUUGGGAAUCCUUUCCUUACCCCCCAACUGGAAUGGCAGCCCCGCUUUCCAAACUGGCGUCCACGAUUCAGAGUAGGAAGUCCAAAGCCAGGGCCCUGGACACGGCUUCCCUGGGUUCCUCGCAAAGCCUUCACCCUCCUAACCCUUCCGAGGAGCUGCACAUCUUGUUCUUCUCCCGAGGUUCCCAAAAAUCACGCCCCACACCUGGUGGGUGCUCCAUACAGAAGCAUUUGAGAAAACGGCCCGUCCAAGGAUGCCCGCCCGAAGGCAGUCGGUACAAGAGCUCCGUUUGUCAUCCUUCGCGCCGUGGAAGACUGCCUCCUGCCCCAGCCCUCAACUCCGGUGAAGUAGAGUCGUGAAGAAAUCGUUGUAUAAACAAAGCCAGAGUCUCACUCACGCACCAAUCAGGGACGGGGUCCUGUCUCGGCGCGGGCUGCGCGCAGCCGCCGGGAGGUGGCCGUCGGGACGUGAGCGCGCCGCCGGCAGCCCGGAGCAGUGGUGCAGGGCCCCUGCGCCGCCCGCCGCUGCAGCCCCGCAGCCGCCAGCACUGCUGACUUGGCCCAGGAGGGCGGGGGAGGGCCCGCAGCAGCUUGGGUUCCAACUGUCCCUGCGCAAGGAGACCGAAGAACCGGCAGCACGGGCUCAGCUGGCCAAGGCUGGGGCAGUUGAUGGGGUGCGAGAGGAGAGCGCUAGAGCAGCCCUGAGUCAGCACUGGUGCAUUGCGAGGUGCCCAGGAGCCUCGGACCAAGACCUACACCCCGCUCCGUGCCCCUCCAGCACACCCUCACCUAAUGCCAGGACCAGGCCCGCCUCAUUUUCUCCCCUCAGCAAUUACUGGAUAAUAAUAAUGUGCCCUGCAGCAAGUACUCUGGGGGAUGGAAAGAUAGAGAAUUCUUUUUAAAGACCUAUCACCGCCUAGAUGUUAUUGUGGGGCAGGCACAAGGCCAUGGGGAUCUGACCUGCGGACAGCCAGGGGAAAAUCUUGUCCUCACUGCCCAGUGGUUCUGACAUGGGAAUAGCAGGGUGUGGUGGUUGUCAGCAAUGCGUUGGAUUUUCUGCCUGGCAUGACCUGGGAAAUGCUGGCCCCUCGCCGUCCAGGGCCAGCUCUUGCCUUACCAGCUCCUCCCAAGCUGGCUUUCCUGUUCUGUGGCCUGAGAGAUGAGGGCAUCCAGGGGCCUGCAGGGGCGGAGGCCCUCCCUCCGCCUAUCCACCCCUGAGGGUCUGUGUCACCUUGGCUGCUUCUUCCCCGGCUGUCUUGAGUGGUCCCUUUGGUCCAGACAGCGCCUGCCUGAGGGAAGGAGCUGGGAAACUUGUGGCAGCCUCUCGUUCAGCUCAUCCUGGCAGUGUGUGCAGUUCAUUUCACAAGCUCCAGUGACGUCACAGCGCUGGGCUCAGGGGUCACCUGCUCCCCAUCACAGCACAUUUGUGAAGUUCCUGUCUCACCUGACCUCCCCAUAGGGGACCAGAGACCAGUGGACAUGGACAGGAUGCUGGGGGCCAACAGCAGCAUUUGCUUUGCAGUCAUUGACAAGAGGUCUUUCUCUUGGCUAAUUCCAGAUAUAAAGGAAUUAAUUCCAGAUAUAAAGGAUGAUUAUUUGUCAUCCGGGCUGGGUAGGGAGGCACUGAGUGGGAGAUGAGUGUGCUUGGGCAUGCCAGCCCUGUCCUCCAGCUCCCCAGGGUGGCAAUGCCAUGACACCUCCAUCCUACUGAUGAGGGGAGACUCAUCGUUUGUCCAAACGGCACAUCCUAGCAGCUUCCUAGAGUCGGGGGUCAAGCUCUGCCUGAUGCACACAAAUUCACAGAUAUCACGUGGUGCUGACCUCAAAGACCCCAGGGUGUGGGACCCUGAUGACCUGUCUGGGUGCACUGGACAUGAAAUCUUUCACAUCUAAGGAUGGUAGUCUGAAAAAUUAGAGUUCCGCAUAACAUUCAGGGGGUUCUGCAAACACCCGCCACAGAUUUACGAGCAGAGGUCAAAGAUGGUUUUAAAUAUACAGGGAAUGUAUAAAAAAAUGGGUGGAUCAAGACAAAGGGUUGUGAGGGACAGAAUGGGGACUGCGAAAGUGGCAAGUAGAAAGACACUCCUAAUUAGGGAAAUAGGGGUUGCCUCUCCUAAAUCCUGUAGGGCUCUCCCAGUCUAGGCAACUGUGUUGUCUAAGACCCUAUAAAAUAUUUGUCUAUGAGCCCGCAUUUCUCCAAAUGGCUACGGAAGCUUUGAUUGGAGCACCUCUCACGCCCCAAGGAGCUUCAACACCAGCAGCCCCAGGUGGAGUACAGGCACGGUUCUCUCCAGAUGAGCCUUCAAGUCUGGCUCUACAGCAAGGACCAGAACACAGUGCAGGAACCCAAGGAGGUCACGGUGCAUCGCCAGCCUCGGCCCAGUUGCUGUUUCGGGGCCUUGCCUGGAUAAUUUAUCUGAGGGGUUUGCUGCACACCCUUCAAGCUGAUUUAUUGCAAGACCGAAAGUGGUUUUUUUUUGGUAAAAAGACACAUUUUUGCUUGAGAAGGAAUUUUGAGGAGCUCAGCCCUUCCAGUGCCUGGGACCACCUGGGUAGAUGCCACGUUGGUCCUGCAUAACGUCACCCCCAGUGCAGACCUGGAUCCAAGCACGGCCUGUCUGGAAAUGCCAUGCCAGCAGUGCCAGACUGGGAGCUCUUCCAGGAGGCACCUACUGAGGCAGCAACUGGCUUUGGGGCAGCCCUUUUGCCAGGUGGGGGGGAGUCUGGUCCCAGAGACCAGGGCUCAGGGGCCUUGGGCUGUUUGUGCCUUUCCCCAAAACAAGCUGCUGCCCAAAGUGAGCUUUCUGCUGCCUCUGCGCAAUCUCCAUCUGAAUGAGCCCCUUAUGGAGCACACCCCCAACUGCCUGGCGUCCCAGGCACCAUCAUUCAACACCUACUACUAACACAGAGGAAAUUCAUCCCUUCUGAAAUGCUGCAGCCUCUGCCCCCAUAGUCACAAGUCAAGUCCUUGUUUUGAGUUUCCCUCCAAAGCUCAUCUCAUUAAACCCAAAAAAAAGAAAACCUCCACCCCCAAUUAAUAAGGCAGUGAAGACUGCGUCUGUGUUCCCAGAGUUCAAGGCAGACUGGAAAGAUCACAGUAGAGAUCAGACCCGAAUUCUCCAGCCCAAUUCCACAGGGCUGAAAAGAGCCAGUAACCAGACAACGCACGCACCAAGGCAAGGACCAAGCUUAAACUCCUCAGUAAGUCUGUGGAGUCCCCCGCCCCAAGCAUGUGGGAGAGGGAAACCAACCCAAAGUAAGGUCCUGAUUGCGUUUGGAUAUUGCCUGGGGCUGAGCGCUCCCCAGUCCGAGGUACCCAACGGGCUGACCCCGGGAGUGGGUAUCCCUUCCUCUCUCCUCCUCCUCCUCCUCCUCCACAUACUCCUCCUCCUCCUGCCUCCUCCCCAUGCUGCUGCUGCGGUUCUGCAGUCACUUGAAGGAGAAAGAUUUCGCAGUACGGCAUUCUUAAAGCUGCAGUGUCCAAAUUCUCCUUCAAACCCCAAGUGUCACAGACAUCAGCUCACUUACCGGGGUCCUUUGCAGAGGGUGGGUGGGCAAGGAGAUGGGGGACGGGGAGCUUGGAGAAGCCAGGCGGGCGGGAAUCAGAGACUCAGACUCCAGCAAGGGUAAAGAGGAGAAGCCGACGGCACCGUGGUAGCCUCUGCAGUUGACCAGGUUGCUGGGACUGCAGCAGGACCGCAAUGGAGGAGAAUUUUUUCUUUUAUCAUAAAACCUCCACCAGAAUUUCCUCCACAAACUUAUAUUCAUUGUAGCUUAAUUAAAACAAAGUGCAAACACGAAACCAACAUGAGAAUUAAAAAAAUAAUAAUUCAAACAGCAUUUAAAAAUUAUUUUGAAAAAUGUACUCCUGUUAGCAACUGACUCAGCUUUCCCUACACUGCUCGGCUGGAAAGCCAUGCGGGGAAGGACCUGGAUGAACUUCACGGAGCCCAGAGUUUCUGCAAAGUGCAGGGAGAGGGCCACAGCUUCUUGGAGGAGAAAGCUUUUUAAAAACCCAAAGAAAAGGGGAUAUUUCUGCUCUCUGCCUAGGGAGCAAGUAAAACAAACUGAUCUAGCAUCAAGAAAUCAACACACCCCUCCCUGAAAGUUACCUCUCUCCUCUGCUCUGUGGCCGCCGUCCUGCCUGGAUGCCGGCAAGUUGCAGACUGCUGCUGGGGAGGCAGGACCCGAAAUAAGAAGUGUCAGCUGGGUCCCUGCACCGAAAUGAUGCCGGGAGACAACGCUGCAGGCGGCGGCGGGAUGGUCUCUCCCCCUCCCCCCAGUUUAAUUUAAGCCCCUGACACUGCAAGAUGCCCGCUCCUAAAGACACAUCUCCAGACAACCUCCUCCCUCCCCACACUUCCUCACAACCAGGUCCAACGCUUUGCCCCACCUCCCACAUUUUGUUCACCUGAAGAUGCUUUUCUUGCAAAAAAAAAAAAAGACUGGGAUUGCAGAAUUCUUAAUUCCUUCCUUUCCGGGACCACAUUUUGGAGAAGGUGCGACUUGUUCAGAAGUUUGAGAAUUGCAGCCUGAUGCCCAGGAAGGAGCAGAGGCAACGAGUGACCGUCUGCUUGGCUUCAGACAAGUCCACACCAUCACUUUACUAAAAAAGGACAGAGGUAGACCCAGGGUGAAAAGAAUAGGAAAAUUCCUCUCUGUCCGCUGGCAAAUUUUCAACAGUUUGGGGAAAUCUUUAGUUUUGCUUUCCUUCAAGAAAAUCCCAUUUAUAAAAUCUGCAUGCUUAUGAAAUGUACAAGAUGGCCAGAAAGUGUAAAUUUUGUCCUGACGUGUCUGUGAUUCCUAAACUUUUUGCUCCUGCCUCUAUGUGACUUAAUAUCUUUUAAGAUUGAGACAGGGAUUUAAUUAGGAAAAUUCCAGGAGAGAGGAGCGCUUUAAAUUAAAGAUACGGUUAAAAUAGUGCAUCCUAAUAUAAUCCACAAGAGAGAAUGCAGAAUAGAUGAACCAAAAAGUAGAGAGAGUGAGGAGACAAGAAGGUAUUCCCAGAUUUUGAAUUUAACUCAGAGUCUGAGAAAGGACAAUAAAGGAGAAAGUCGGGGCACCGCAACUAAGACUCCUCUUUUAAAUAAAUUGGUCAGAAGGACCAACUGCAUCAAUUUCGUGUACAUUUCAUUACUGAAGUAAGAGCUGCUGUGUGACUUGUUUCUAAACAG
Molecule: long non-coding RNA, 15440 nt
Filed under: Equus asinus (donkey)
Lineage: Eukaryota; Metazoa; Chordata; Mammalia; Perissodactyla; Equidae
Description: lncRNA (ENSEASG00005031960.1)
Source: RNAcentral